RNAcentral lists this non-coding RNA (76 nucleotides) under Variovorax sp. PAMC 28711. RNAcentral describes it as "SAH (S-adenosyl-L-homocysteine) riboswitch aptamer". It matches the Rfam family "SAH (S-adenosyl-L-homocysteine) riboswitch aptamer". The record is from Rfam by way of RNAcentral. RNAcentral also lists the same sequence under 1 other name. Lineage: Bacteria; Pseudomonadati; Pseudomonadota; Betaproteobacteria; Burkholderiales; Comamonadaceae.
CCCCGAGGAGCGUUGCAGCGGCCAGCCACAGAGCCCCGCCAGGCUCGGGUGUUCUCCGCAACGACGCUCACCUGAC